This 253-nucleotide ribosomal RNA is filed under the name uncultured bacterium. Its description in RNAcentral is "partial 16S ribosomal RNA". It matches the Rfam family "Bacterial small subunit ribosomal RNA", at positions 524 to 776 of the family's 1533-position model. The record is from RNAcentral.
UACAGAGGGUGCGAGCGUUAAUCGGAAUUACUGGGCGUAAAGCGUGCGUAGACGGUUAUUUAAGUCGGAUGUGAAAGCCCCGGGCUCAACCUGGGAAUUGCAUUCGAGACUGAAUAGCUAGGGUGCGGUAGAGGGAAGCGGAAUUUCCGGUGUAGCGGUGAAAUGCGUAGAUAUCGGAAGGAACACCAGUGGCGAAAGCGGCUUCCUGGUCCAGCACCGACGUUCAGGCACGAAAGCGUGGGGAGCAAACGGG